GAUUACUAUUUCAGAAGACAUUCAUAGAAAGAGGGUGGCAAAUUCGGUGACCACCUUUAAAGGAAGUUUCCUGGGACCUAGCAAGAGAGAAAGAAGCCCAAAGAAGGAAAAUAAAAGGCUAUGAUUUCCUUGUCCUGUUGCUUUGUCUCUGGCUCCCUCUGCUUCUGGAAGAGUAGCCACAGGACACAAAGAUGCCCAGCUGGUCGUUGCACGCCCAAGUUCAGUUUAGCUGGUGUUUCUCUCCUGUUUAGCCUGACUGCUUUCUCUGAAGGGGAGGACUCACAGCCCGACAGCCUUUUAGUUUAACCUUAAGAGUGUGUGCCGCCUCUCUCUGCCCAUCCCAAGAGCUCGCUGGAGGUGGAGAGGGGAGAAAAAGGAAGACUUGAAAGUGGCCAAGGAGCUCCUGAUGCUAAGAGGAAGCAAACAUUCCCGUGGACGACGCAGAAAGGACUGAUUUAUUGCCGUUUCUUUUUUUUUUUUUUUUUGGUUUGGGUUUGGUUUGGGGGUUUUUUUUUUUUUUUUUUUGGUGGUGGUUUUGGGGUUUGCUUUUUUUUUUUUUUUUUUGGUUUUUUUUUUGUGAGUGUCCUCCCUCUCCUUUGGCGCACACCAGUGUUUGGAGAUCUCUGAAAACACAAAUCAAAACACCAGCCCCGAAGCCCCAACCCCUUGGCUAGCUCUUAUGGGAAUGAAACACUCCUCCCGCUGCCUGCUCCUGAGGAGGAAAAUGGCGGAGAACGCUGCCGACAGCACCGAGGUUUGCCCCAUCCCAUCCCAGCCUCCUCAGCCUACUGUUGUUCCAAAGCCAGUUCAAUCUGUCAUACAUGUCCCAUUGCAACCAAGCUGCCCAGGCCGGGGCAAGAUGGCAAAACUCAUCAAUCCAGAAGAGAUGACAUCCAGGGAUUAUUACUUUGAUUCCUAUGCUCAUUUUGGAAUUCAUGAGGAAAUGUUAAAGGAUGAGGUGCGCACAUUAACCUAUAGAAACUCAAUGUAUCACAAUAAGCAUGUUUUUAAAGAUAAGAUUGUCCUUGAUGUUGGAAGUGGCACAGGAAUCCUCUCCAUGUUUGCUGCAAAGGCAGGAGCCAAGAAGGUAUAUGGGAUUGAAUGCUCAAGUAUAUCUGACUAUUCAGAAAAAAUUAUCAAGUCGAACCACUUGGACCACAGUAAGGCAUAUAUAAAAAUAUUUUCUUCAGGAGAAAGAGAAGAUAACUGUUUCGCUUUUUCUGAUUAAUUUAUGUUGUGUUGUUUAUAUGUAAAUGGUAAUUUUGCAUAAUUUACUCAUGUAAAUGCAAAACUAAACACCUCAUUCUAGGCACUACAACAGUUCCUCAGGGGAGAAGUUACUUCUACAUUUACUUCUAGGCUCACAGACUAUAAAAUCAAAUAGGAUUUGUCAGUGGGCAGUUUGAUUCAGCAAAGCAGGCAGGUGGCCCCAUAUUAGAGCUGAACUUUUCGAAUUAAUUCUGCCAUUUAAAUUCCACCUUAUUUCUUAAAUAGAAUUGACACACACACAUUCAAAUUGAAAUAAGGUUCAAAGCAAAAAGUAUUUUGUUUCUAUACACAUUUUUCACUAAGAAUUUCUUCUGACUUCAAACUUUAAAAAAAUACUUUUUGAAAAAGCAUAUUGAAAUAAACACACUCAUACAAAUUAAAAUGUUCAAUUCUCAGAAUAAUAGUAUCAGAGAAAACUUCUAUUUUUUUCUUGAAAACUGUUGACAUUUCUGGGGAUGUGGAAACACUUCAAUUAAAAAAAAAAAAAAAUACUAGAAAUACUCCAAACCUACUGAAAACUCUUAAAAAAAAUAAUCUCCAACAAGCUCCAUUUCAUAUCUUCAGUCCUCUUCCAAAUCACUGUACACAAGAUAUGUUUGUAACAAUCUAAAAAAUCAGGGUUUUUUUAACUGAAGCUGUGAGACAGUUCUUGUUUAAAAGUGUUUCUGUGAAGGGCUUGCCUUUGCUGCAGAGCAGUGCUGGUCAUAGCUGGCUAGACUGUAUAAUUUGCCCCCACUUUUACCUGUGUCUGUGCUAGUGCUGUGCUAGCGCAUCCACAGGGAUAAAUUUCUGUUCUGAUUUAGAUCUGUUCUAAUUUUUAUUGCUGUCACUUGCAGCUUCUGACUAACACAGAGAUGUUUGGGAGGAGAAUUGAUUGUAGAGAAUGUGCAUUAAAGUGUGCAGUGUGAAAGAAACAGCAGUGACGUGGGAUGCAAGAGGCCAGACGGUGUGUGCAACUUUUGGUUCAGAAAAAAAAGGAAGCAAAGGGCCAGAGAAUACUCUCCUCCGCAGGAGGGAUAGGGCACUAAAACAAUGAGGUGUUGACCUCAACUUGGUUGUCCUGUACCUUUGGUGCAGAGCCCAGAGUGGCCUUUCAUGAAAUAGCUACACAAACAGCACACCGUAAAUGAAUUCAUGUUUGUAUUUCCAGCAACAGGAAUUGUGUGUGAAGGGACCAUUGUCAGAAAAAUAAGAAUAAUUCAGUAUGCUCCAGAGGUUGCAGAGGGUGUUUACUUCUGCUUCUUCCUCCUGUUUCUCCAAGGAGCAAGUCCUUGGAAAAACUGUGGAGGAAGAAGCAGAGACUUCUUCCCUUUGGCAAAAAAAGAACUUGCCCAGACAGGUUCAGCAGCCUAUCUAACUGCAGUUUGGUCUCCAAUAUAGACGAAUUACACAACUGAGCGAACAUUUACACUGAUCUACAUUCACUUUUAUUUUAAUGCAACCAGGUGCUGAGCCAAACGAUCUUGUUGCUUAUGGAAAUUUUUUCUUUUCUUUCCCCCUAAUUGUUUAGAGAAAUGCAGAGUCAGCAAAAGGGGCUAUACCGAGAGAAAAGCCACUAUUUUCAGAACAGAUACAGUACAGCUGGGACAGCACUAUCUGUUCCCACAUGAUGCCUGAUGAAGAUAUUUCAUCAAAAUGAAGGGAGGUGCAAGAAACCUGUGCUGCUGCUGCUUACACUGUGACUGUUCUAGGUAGAAACAGAGGGCUUCAAAGUCUGCAGGUGUGUCACUCUGGCAGCUGUCAACAGUGCUAAAAAUCAGUUAAAAAAAAAUAAAUAGUGGCAGUGAAAGUUCUCUGGAGAAAAGAGAUCUCAUGGAUGGAUCUUAUAGACAUGAAGAGUCUUUAGUAUAACAGCAGAUGAACUAUUGAGCUACUAAGUGUGAAAGGAAGGACUUUAAAGAGUGGGAAGGGUAAGAGAAAUCUGCUCUUUUCCAAUCAGGUUGCUCUUAAUACUUUGUGUUGCCAGUUUGAAUUGGCAUGUUCCAAACUUCUUAGAGGGCUAAUUUGGGUUAAAAGUUUGCUAUGCAGAUAAAGUGACCACAACUGGUUAGAAUAAUACUAGUACUGCAUGAAUGUUGGAAAGUUGAAACCUCAUUUUCCCUGGGUUGAGUUCUAAAAAUCACUCAGCCCACACUUACACUCUUAAAUAGCUAACCCAGUUCUAGCUAAAUGAAAGUACCUUCAUCUUCCUCAAACUGAAUGUUGAGAAUUUUCAUCAGUAAAAAUUGCCAUAAUUAAAAAUUGUCAUUUAUUAAAAGUUAUGUAAUAAUCUAAAUCUUAUUAGUUAGUAAUGAAAUGUAAAAUAUUCCCUGCUCAUUUUGUUCCUGAAUUUCAAGUGCAUCCAUUACCUUGUUAAGGAAGAAUACAGAACCAUGAGACUUUACCCACUGCAACAAACAAUAUAAAUAGCAGACAAAACAAGCUGCAAAUUAUUUGUUCAAAUAAUUUAUAAUACGUUUGUAAGUAGGAAGAAUUUGUUUAAAAUGCAAGAAUGAUUAGUGAAUUGCAUAGGGAUCCUAAAACAAAAAUAUUUGUUACCACUGAACUAAAUAUGGACCAGCAUUUAAUUUUUUUUCUCUAAGCAAAAUACCCAUUUUAGUAUCAAGCAGUUGUAUUACUGCUUGUUGAUUUGCUUUUGCAGUGCAUACCCAGUCUGCCAUAAGUGGUAUACAGUAUUGCCAGUAAUUCAGUGCACUGUGUUAUAGUGUCUCUGAGGAUCUGGUGGUUUACUACAUCAAAAUUCUAGCAAGCUUUUUAAUUUCCUUGAAACUAAUUUGGUGACAAAAUAUCUGACAGCAAUAUUUUCCAGCAGUCACUUUAGAUAACUGUGGAAAGUCAUGCAAGUCUAAACUAGGUAGAAGACUCAGAGUGAGAAUGGCAGUAUGUUAUAGAAGAUUCUAUAAUGAAGCAGAAGGGAAUGAAAAAUGACUUUUCAUGACAGAAAUGUGUUUGUACACACUUUCUUGUUUGUGUAUUGUCAGGCUAGAUCUACCUUACUCAGUUAGGUCAGCUCCCCAGAAUUCAUGGAAGAAAUAGGCCUUAGUUUCUUCAUUGCGAAGCUAGCAUAAUAUGUUUGAAAAGCAGGUGAGAAUUAGAUCCUACAUCCAUAAAUGUCUAAUAUCGCAGUGAUGAGAUCAUGUAUGUGUUACCCUACAGGGAUGUUUAAAGGAUUCUAGGUGGAUUCUUUGCAUUACUUUGUCAAUGAUAUAGACAUCUUCCAAAUUCCAAAGGGUAUGUAAAAUGAGAUCAGGCAGGUAUCCAGGUAAGGCCUGUUUUUCUGUUGUUUUUUAUAUAUGGCUGUUAUUUUGUUUGAGUUUUGGUUUUGUUUGCAUUGGGGUUUUUUUGGUUGGUUGGGGUUUUUUUAUUUGGUUUUAUUUGGUUUUUUUUUAAUUUUUGUUGGGUUUUUUUGGUUUGGUUUGGUUUGAGGUUUUUUUCUUUUAUACUGAUACUAAAACGCAAGUAGUUUUAAAAUAGUGUAAGAUCCAUUGAGUCACAUGGAGUUACCCCUUAUCUACAGGCAUUGAAGAACAGAAUCAUAUUGAAAAGGUCAGCCUGACAUUCACCAGUAAGGAACUUAAUCAGGUGUUUUAUUAUGUGAAACAUAUUUGUUUGGAUUCUUUUUUCAGUAAUCACAAUAUUUAAAGGUAAAGUGGAAGAAGUUGAAUUACCUGUGGACAAAGUAGACAUCAUCAUCAGCGAGUGGAUGGGUUACUGUCUGUUCUAUGAGUCAAUGUUAAACACAGUCAUCUUCGCACGAGACAAGUGGCUGAAACCUGGAGGGCUAAUGUUUCCAGACCGAGCUGCUUUGUACGUGGUAGCAAUUGAAGACAGACAGUACAAGGACUUCAAAAUUCACUGGUGGGAGAAUGUGUACGGCUUUGACAUGACCUGUAUUAGGGAUGUUGCCAUGAAGGAGCCUUUGGUGGACAUAGUAGAUCCAAAGCAAGUGGUGACCAAUGCCUGUUUAAUAAAGUAACAAAUACAGCAUUAAGUAUUCCCAUAUGCCAAAAGGAAAGACAUACCAUUAAUCUACAGAAACUUUACUGAAAGCAGCAAAAAGGAACAGAAGUAAAAACUCUAUCAUUUCAAGACAGCACAGCUUAUUCAUAUUAGAUUCACAAAAGGACUUUUUAGGAAGUUGAUAUUUAUACAGUGAAGACUGAAGAAUUGGCAUUUACUUCUGCAUUCUGCCUACAAAUUCAGCGUAAUGAUUACAUUCAUGCCUUGGUCACCUAUUUUAAUAUCGAAUUUACGAAGUGCCACAAGAAGAUGGGAUUUUCUACAGCACCUGAUGCUCCCUAUACUCACUGGAAGCAAACUGUCUUCUACUUAGAGGACUAUUUAACUGUGAGACGAGGAGAAGAAAUCUAUGGGACUAUAUCCAUGAAACCAAAUGCAAAAAAUGUGCGUGACCUGGAUUUCACAGUAGACUUGGAUUUUAAAGGACAGCUAUGUGAAAUGUCAGUAUCUAAUGACUACAAAAUGCGCUAGCAAGAAACCUUUCAGAGAUGAAAAGGAGAAUUUUAUCAAGUCCUGAACUGCUGAACUUCAAGCUAGGAACAACUUUUUACAAGAUUGUUGUACUAAAUACUAGAAUGUUUACCUAGACGGAAAGUGGUAACCUGAUUCUUCUUGCAGAAAGUACAGGGGGCUGGGAUCCCACUGUGAAUGUACAGUAUACAGAACUGUAGCUUUUGUCAAACACGUAGGAAAAUAAGCAACAGUCUUGACUGUUCUGGUUAACUUUAGGAUGGCAGAAGAUGCGUAUACAAAUUGUACUACUUACUGUGAAUUUCUGGUUCUUCCAAGCUUUGCAUGUUAAAGGUGAUUAGGGCAGUUUUCUCACUAUGGAAGACCACUACAGCACAUUACUGUGAUACUAUUACUGGACUUAUAUUCAAUAUAAAUGAAUAUAUAUAUUGUAUAUGAGAAAAAGAUAUUUCAUAAUAGGGAUUUGUUUUGUGAUUAUUUAAUUUUCAUUAUGCAGUUAUGGAAAGGUAAUGCUGUUGCCUCUGGCACUACUCUAGGCAGUGAUACAGUCCAUUAACUGUCCAAAGUUAUAGCUUUGGUAAAUAUUCCAUGCAAAGUGUACAUAAGAGCUGGGCAUUUACAGAAAGUUCAAAAGCUAUCUUUUUGAAUGUCCUCUGGAAAAUGUGGACCAUUAGUUUUAAAAUUCAUCUUCACAAAUGGAUGUCUAUCAGAGCUUUAAAAAAAUUAGCUUUUUAUCCUUGAAAAUAUUCCGUGGUGAGUUUUUAUAGGUGGAUUUUGCAUGAGAUAUUCUGAAAUCAGACACCUAGUAUUUAAAUGUGAUGAAUGCAGAGUCUCUGAAAUGGUGGCUAAUACAUGUUUCUUGGCCAUGCCAUACUUAAGUUCUUUGCAAGACUCUUAAUACAAAAUAAUUAAAAAAAAAAAUAGGAAUUAGUGUUUCCUUUUGGUGAUGUUUUAGGUAUGUUUUAAAUUGCAAAAACUGUUCUCAAGAGUGCAGUGAAUUGCAGGAACAAGCUAAUGUCUAUAAAAGAAAAAAGUCAAUGGCUUCUGAUAUUACUAAGAUGUCUGUAGCUUCCCCAUCCCCUUACACCACUUGUUCUUCUUACAAUAUCUCCUGCUUAUUGUUAAGAUAUUAACUGAUUAUAAUUCUUCAUACACAUCAAGUCUUUUUACUAUAAGAAUGUUGACCAUUUAAUCACAUGUAUUUCGAGAAAAACUGCAUCAUCGGUCCUAUCUACCCAUUUUCCAGUCUGACAUUAGGCAUCAAAUCAUGUUCCAUCAUGUAUUGGAUGAGAUUGACUAGUUUUUUUCCUAAAAAUCUUUUUAAUCACCUGCAAAUAAAGCAUACUUGAAGAUGUA
This is an RNA transcript of Strigops habroptila (Kakapo), 7116 nucleotides long. It is a transcript of the gene named protein arginine methyltransferase 8, with no coding region annotated. Lineage: Eukaryota; Metazoa; Chordata; Aves; Psittaciformes; Psittacidae. The transcript is spliced from 11 exons. The record is from RefSeq and is a predicted model, not a curated record.